UCGACUCCGAGGUCGAAUGCUCGACACUGUCAUGUUUCGUGCCUCUAGUGAAGUACAAGGCGAGAGGUUGAACACUGAGCAGAUGGUAGUCAUCCACGAACGCCGUGGUAGGGUGAAGUUUUGCUUCAGCUUGUGGCGAAACAGAUCAGAAGUUUCUGGCACCACUUCAGGUCCUUUCUUGGAGACGAGCAUAAGAUGGUCAUAACAAUAAUGUUCUUUGCUUCAGGAUUCUGUUUGUUGAUUUCACCCACCGCCUAUUUAUUAAUAAGUCAUUUUAAUAAUAUUGUUGAAAACAACUCCAACUUUAAGAAAGAGGUAAGUUUAGUUUUAUAGAAGAGAGAGAUUCUCUCUGUCAGGUGAAUAUCUGCAAAUAUACAAACACAAUAAAUCUGAGUCUGUAGAUGACAGUCAGCAAUGCAGCCCCAUUUAAAAACAUUAAGAACAAAUUAAAGUGUGAAUCAGCGACUGCUGCUGUGUGAACUUUUAAUGUGACUCUUUCCUUACUUGUGUAAAAUAUCUGAAUGAUCAGUCAUUACUGCUUUUCUUGAAACCUCAACACAGAAAAAGAAUAAAAGCCACAUGAUGUGAAAUCCAUCA
Long non-coding RNA from Oreochromis niloticus (Nile tilapia), 597 nucleotides. RefSeq lists it as uncharacterized. The transcript has 2 exons. The record is from RefSeq and is a predicted model, not a curated record. Lineage: Eukaryota; Metazoa; Chordata; Actinopteri; Cichliformes; Cichlidae.